This 121-nucleotide ribosomal RNA is filed under the name Arundinibacter roseus. Its description in RNAcentral is "Cytophaga sp. DMA-K-7a partial 16S ribosomal RNA". It matches the Rfam family "Bacterial small subunit ribosomal RNA", at positions 1 to 129 of the family's 1533-position model. The record is from RNAcentral. Lineage: Bacteria; Pseudomonadati; Bacteroidota; Cytophagia; Cytophagales; Spirosomataceae.
UUUACUAUGGAGAGUUUGAUCCUGGCUCAGGAUGAACGCUAGCGGCAGGCUUAAUACAUGCAAGGCGAGGGGGCAUUUCGGUGUCACCGUCGUACGGGUGCGUAACGCGUAUGCAACCUAC